GGAAUAUUGGACAAUGGGGGGAACCCUGAUCCAGCCAUGCCGCGUGUGUGAAGAAGGCCUUUUGGUUGUAAAGCACUUUAAGCGAGGAGGAGGCUCCCUAGACUAAUACUCUAGGAGAGUGGACGUUACUCGCAGAAUAAGCACCGGCUAACUCUGUGCCAGCAGCCGCGGUAAUACAGAGGGUGCAAGCGUUAAUCGGAUUUACUGGGCGUAAAGGGUACGUAGGUGGUCUUUUAAGUCGGAUGUGAAAUCCCUGAGCUUAACUUAGGAAUUGCAUUCGAUACUGGGAGACUAGAGUAUGGGAGAGGAUGGUAGAAUUCCAGGUGUAGCGGUGAAAUGCGUAGAGAUCUGGAGGAAUACCGAUGGCGAAGGCAGCCAUCUGGCCUAAUACUGACACUGAGGCACGAAAGCAUGGGGAGCAAACAGGAUUAGAUACCCUUG
RNAcentral lists this ribosomal RNA (441 nucleotides) under uncultured Acinetobacter sp. Its description in RNAcentral is "bacterial SSU rRNA". It matches the Rfam family "Bacterial small subunit ribosomal RNA", at positions 358 to 790 of the family's 1533-position model. Lineage: Bacteria; Pseudomonadati; Pseudomonadota; Gammaproteobacteria; Moraxellales; Moraxellaceae. The record is from RNAcentral.